GCGGGAUGACUUUGAAUACACUGGAAGGCAGAGGUGGGAGGAUUGCUAGAGCCCAGGAGUUCUGGACUGCAGUGAGCUAUGGCAAUCGAGUGUCUGCACUAAGUUCGGCAUCGAUAUGGUGACCUCCUGGGAGCAGGGGACCACUAGGUUGCCUAAGGAGGGGUGAACCAGCCCAGGUCGGAAACGGAGCAGCUCAAAACUCCAGUGCUGAUCAGUAGUGGGAUCGCGCCUGUGAAUAGCCACUGCACUCCAGCCUGGGCAACAUAGGGAGACUCCGUUUCU
RNAcentral lists this signal recognition particle RNA (282 nucleotides) under Saimiri boliviensis boliviensis (Bolivian squirrel monkey). RNAcentral's name for it is "Metazoan signal recognition particle RNA (ENSSBOG00000014216.1)". It matches the Rfam family "Metazoan signal recognition particle RNA". From Rfam's summary of the family: The signal recognition particle (SRP) is a universally conserved ribonucleoprotein. It is involved in the co-translational targeting of proteins to membranes. Lineage: Eukaryota; Metazoa; Chordata; Mammalia; Primates; Cebidae. The record is from RNAcentral.